This 253-nucleotide ribosomal RNA is filed under the name uncultured bacterium. Its description in RNAcentral is "partial 16S ribosomal RNA". It matches the Rfam family "Bacterial small subunit ribosomal RNA", at positions 524 to 776 of the family's 1533-position model. The record is from RNAcentral.
UACGAAGGGGGCGAGCGUUGUUCGGAUUUACUGGGCGUAAAGGGCGCGCAGGCGGUCUUGAAAGUCAGGCGUGAAAGCCCCGGGCUUAACCUGGGAAUUGCGCUUGAUACUCUGAGACUGGAGUACGGGAGAGGAGAGUGGAAUUCCCAGCGUAGAGGUGAAAUUCGUAGAUAUUGGGAAGAACACCAGUGGCGAAGGCGGCUCACUGGACCAUAACUGACGCUGAUGCACGAAAGCUAGGGGAGCAAACAGG